AUGCCCAACGUCAGUGAAGUAGAGUUGAAAUAGAAUUUUUUCGCUCUUGAAAAUUGCGAUCACGUUUCUAAUAUAGUGAAAACAAUAUUCUAGUGACCGGGUGAUUUCUGCGCAGAUGCUUGCCCUUCCAAUAUUAUGUACGAUAUAACGGUAAAUAACGAUUUCGGUGGCCCAACGGUUUGCACUGUGGACACUGGACGAGAAAGUUUUGGAUUCGCUGCCAGCUUACGCUCGCUCUGAUGAGAAAAAUUACAAAAUAUACCAACCACCCGAUAAUACCCGUAGCGAACGAAUUUGAUUUUCAUAAACGACCUCGGUGGCCUAACGAUUUGAGCUAUAAUAUGAUGGCGCUAGGUAAGUUCCGUGUUCAAUUAUCGAUAGAUAAAAAUUCAGAAACGGACUUUUCGAAAUUAGUCUGGUCUAAGUGCAAGGAAUUCUCUAGUUUGCGACCAGAUAAUUGGUGUGUUUUCUGGCAUAUUAUUACUAAAAACGUUAUUCGCUUGUGAUGGUUUAUUUCUCCAGUCAGAGUACAAAGGAAAAAGAACCGAUACAAAAGAUUCCGCGCUUAUCAUUGACUUACAAAUAAAUGGACGACGGGUCUAAUACAAAAACCACGAAAAAAAUGUCCCAAGUCA
Molecule: long non-coding RNA, 635 nt
Organism: Hyposmocoma kahamanoa
Lineage: Eukaryota; Metazoa; Arthropoda; Insecta; Lepidoptera; Cosmopterigidae
Exons: 3
Source: RefSeq, a predicted model, not a curated record